GAUGAACGCUGGCGGCGUGCCUAAUACAUGCAAGUCGAGCGAACAGACGAGGAGCUUGCUCCUCUGACGUUAGCGGCGGACGGGUGAGUAACACGUGGAUAACCUACCUAUAAUACUGGGAUAACUUCGGGAAACCGGAGCUAAUACCGGAUAAUAUAUUGAACCGCAUGGUUCAAUAGUGAAAGACGGUUUUGCUGUCACUUAUAGCUGGAUCCGCGCCGCAUUAGCUAGUUGGUAAGGUAACGGCUUACCAAGGCAACGAUGCGUAGCCGACCUGAGAGGGUGAUCGGCCACACUGGAACUGAGACACGGUCCAGACUCCUACGGGAGGCAGCAGUAGGGAAUCUUCCGCAAUGGGCGAAAGCCUGACGCAGCAAUGCCGCGUGAGUGAUGAAGGUCUUCGGAUCGUAAAACUCUUUUAUUAGGGAAGAACAAAUGUGGAAGUAACUAUGGACGUCUUGACGGUACCUAAUCAGAAAGCCACGGCUAACUACGUG
RNAcentral lists this ribosomal RNA (497 nucleotides) under uncultured bacterium. Its description in RNAcentral is "partial 16S ribosomal RNA". It matches the Rfam family "Bacterial small subunit ribosomal RNA", at positions 28 to 507 of the family's 1533-position model. The record is from RNAcentral.